RNAcentral lists this long non-coding RNA (1720 nucleotides) under Macaca fascicularis (crab-eating macaque). RNAcentral's name for it is "lncRNA (ENSMFAG00000058812.1)". The record is from RNAcentral. Lineage: Eukaryota; Metazoa; Chordata; Mammalia; Primates; Cercopithecidae.
UUUUUUUUUUUUUUUUUUUUUUUUUUGAGAUGGAAUCUGGCUCUGUUGUCCAGGCUGGAGUGCAGUGGCACCAUCUCAGCUCACUGCAACCUCCACCUUCCAGGUUCAAGCAAUUCUCCUGCCUUGGCCUCCCAAGUAGCUGGGAUUAUAGGCAUGCAACACCAUGCCUGGCCAAUUUUUGUAUUUUUGGUAGAGACGGGGUUUCACCCUGUUGGCCAGGCUGGUCUUGAACUCCUGGCCUCAAGUGAUCCACCCACCUUGGCCUCCCCAAGGGCUGGGAUUAUAGGUGUGAGCCACCAUGCCCAGCUAUGUCACUGCCUCCUUAACUGCCCCAGACACUGCACAUCCACCAAUGGGCUUGAUCCUCCCUGCAAGAUUGCAGAGAAAUAUGUUCAGAUGUUAUUUUCACCACUGCCUGGACAGUUGAGGCAACAGAGGCACAGGGAGGUGGAGUGCCUUUUCCUAGGGUUUCUUUUUAAUUUUUUGAGACAGGGUCUUGCUUUCUUACCCAAGCUGGAGAGCAGUGACACAAUAAUGGCUGACUGCAGCCUCGACCUCCCAGGCUUAGCAAUCCUCCCACCUCAGCCUCCGGAGUAGCUGGGACUACAAUUGUGUGCCACUACACCGAACUAAUUAUUAUUAUUUUUUUUUAGAGAUCAGGUCUUACUGGUUGGUCUUGAACUCCCAGCCUCAAGGAAUCCUCCCACUUUGGCCUCCCAAAGCACUCGGAUUACAAGACUGAGCCGUCUGUGCCCAGCCCCUAGGGUUCCUUGAUUGCCAGUUAAGUGUACCUCAUUAUCCUUGGGUCUUCAAAACAAUGAGAGCUAGACAGGAAAAGAUAAAUAAAUCAUAAUAAGAAAAUAAGAGACAUGUAAAAGUGCUGUGUCAAUUGCUAUUCAUUUAAUAACUAUUUUAGCUUAAUAUGUUGUGGCUUUGAAGCAGUCAUUCAUUAAGCUGAAUUUCUCUGGCCACCUACACACCAUGUGGUCAGGCGCUGUGCUAAGCAGCAGCUAUUCACCCUGAGUGCCCAGUAUAGGCCAGGGUGUGGCCCGUGUGGCUCCGGGUGGGGCCACUCAGUCUGCAGUGUGGAGGGAGUGGACUUGGAGAGAAGAGGGCAUUUGGAGUCAGUUGCCUGGAGUUGGUGAGAACCACAGCCCCCAUGGGGCUCUCUGUUGUCUGCCCCAUGAAGGGUCUUAGUGCUCUGCAGAGUCAUCGUCCCUCCUUACGCUCACACAGCCAGUAUUGCUCUGGGUUCCCGGGAGGCCUCCUGCAGGGCAUAGGACAGUGCCUGCCAACAGAGUCACAGCGAGUCCAGUGAUCAUCUCUUGGUGAUGUAAAAUGGCUCCAGGGGUGACCCGGUGAGUCAACAGUGUAUCCCUCCCCACCAGCCUUCUAACCCAUCAUCUCCCCUACAGGCCACCCACAGUGUGCUAGAAAUGUCUGCUCUUUUUCACUUUUUCCCUAAAGACAGAAAGAAAAAAAGACAAAGAGCUGAAAAAGCACAGGAGCCAGGUAGUGCAGCAGGGCGGUGCCAAUGUGAGAAGCCAGCCAGGGUAGAGGCUCGGCUUGGGAGCAGAGGGCUUCGGGGACAAGGGACAUUCAGACUCAAGGGCAGCGAGCCCCUCUCCUGUGCUGACGUGAGUCUCUCAGACCCCCUUGGCUAGAACUGGAAGGGCCUUUAAACACCAUCUCAUCGAACCUUGGUUUCAAGUCAACUGAU